Molecule: ribosomal RNA, 253 nt
Filed under: uncultured bacterium
Lineage: Bacteria
Description: partial 16S ribosomal RNA
Rfam family: Bacterial small subunit ribosomal RNA
Source: RNAcentral
UACGUAGGGGGCAAGCGUUAUCCGGAUUUACUGGGUGUAAAGGGAGUGUAGGCGGUCUGGCAAGUCAGAUGUGAAAGCCCGGGGCUCAACCCCGGGACUGCAUUUGAAACUGCCGGACUAGAGUGUCGGAGAGGUAAGUGGAAUUCCUAGUGUAGCGGUGAAAUGCGUAGAUAUUAGGAGGAACACCAGUGGCGAAGGCGGCUUACUGGACGAUAACUGACGCUGAGGCUCGAAAGCGUGGGGAGCAAACAGG